AAUGUGUGGCAUACGGCUCAGUAACACGUAGUCAACAUGCCCAGGGGACGUGGAUAACCUCGGGAAACUGAGGAUAAACCGCGAUAGGUCACUACUUCUGGAAUGGGUAAUGACCCAAACCUAUACGGCCCCUGGAUUGGACUGCGGCCGAUCAGGCUGUUGGUGAGGUAAUGGCCCACCAAACCUGUAACCGGUACGGGCUCUGAGAGGAGGAGCCCGGAGAUGGGCACUGAGACAAGGGCCCAGGCCCUAUGGGGCGCAGCAGGCGCGAAACCUCUGCAAUAGGCGAAAGCUUGACAGGGUUACUCUGAGUGAUUUCCGUUAAGGAGAUCUUUUGGCACCUCUAAAAAUGGUGCAGAAUAAGGGGUGGGCAAGUCUGGUGUCAGCCGCCGCGGUAAUACCAGCACCCCGAGUGGUCGGGACGUUUAUUGGGCCUAAAGCAUCCGUAGCCGGUUCUACAAGUCUUCCGUUAAAUCCACCUGCUCAACAGAUGGGCUGCGGAAGAUACUAUGGAGCUAGGAGGCGGGAGAGGCAAGCGGUACUCGAUGGGUAGGGGUAAAAUCCGUUGAUCCAUUGAAGACCACCAGUGGCGAAGGCGGCUUGCCAGAACGCGCUCGACGGUGAGGGAUGAAAGCUGGGGGAGCAAACCGGAUUAGAUACCCGGGUAGUCCCAGCUGUAAACGAUGCAGACUCGGUGAUGAGUUGGCUUUAUGCCAACUCAGUGCCGCAGGGAAGCCGUUAAGUUUGCCGCCUGGGGAGUACGGUCGCAAGACUGAAACUUAAAGGAAUUGGCGGGGGAGCACCACAAGGGGUGAAGCCUGCGGUUCAAUUGGAGUCAACGCCGGG
RNAcentral lists this ribosomal RNA (846 nucleotides) under uncultured archaeon. RNAcentral's name for it is "bacterial SSU rRNA". It matches the Rfam family "Archaeal small subunit ribosomal RNA", at positions 73 to 922 of the family's 1478-position model. The record is from RNAcentral.